GGUGCGGCCACUCGCGUUUACCUGCUGCGUUGUCUUUCGCCUCGCCGUUCGCACACUUUCCCCACAUUGCACCAACACCGCGGCAAGGCAACUAAGCAGAAGACAGCACAGCGAGAUUUUCUCUGCGCAUAUAAAGGGCUGUGCCCCUCUUCCUCAGCGCGCGCGAGUAGCGCUCCUUGAAGCGCUCAAGCCUCAUAGAAGUAAAGUCUUUGCCUUCGCGCAAAGACGCCCUCCAUAGAUCGGCGGACGAAGAGUAUUCUCACACGCAGGCUCACCCAAUCGCAUACAUACAGCCUAGCCAUACAUCAGGGCCGCCGUUGCACUCAUCCAACGAGUCGCGGUCGGACGCAUAUAUUCUACUCAUAAACGACAUACUGCGCUGUUCGAGUGCCCGCACCUGGGACACCCAUCUCCCUCCCUGUGUUGCUUCCCACAAUGCUGACGUCGGCUGAGGAGGCCUACACAGAGUACCUGGAGCGUCGGGUGGUGGCAGGCGGCGUGGAUGCUGCCAUCGUGCGCGCAACACUGCAGCAGAUGGGCUUCGAUGAAAAGACAAUAGCAGCCAUGAUGGGGGACACCAGCACCUACUCUUUGCCCUUCUCCACGACCAGCAGUGCCUCCUCCACCACGUCUACGUCAAUCUCCUCAGUCAAGAAGCCGAGUCGCGCGUCUGGGUUCUCGGCUGCAACCUCCACCCCCUCGGCUCCAUCAGAGAUGGCGGAUACGGCUCAGCUCCACCGUGUCGUCACCACGUCCGCUGAGUCCGCUGCUGACACCCCCACCGCUGCUUCUGCGACUGCCACUCAGGUUACUCCAGCGCUGCCUUCCAUCAUUCCUGAGGGCAAGCGCAGUAACAACGACGCAAAUCAGCUGUGCAAGUCGUCUCCCUCUGCCACUGCUGCUCCGCCGCCCUCUUCCUCCACUGCCUCGUUGUCUACGCCAUCGCGCACCUUGGCCGCAGGCACCGUUGCAGGGGCAGCGGAGGGUUUUGAUGCCGACCACCACUCUGGUGCGGUGCUCUCUUCGCGGAGCCAUGCUGAAUCAUCUGUGUGCGGGACGGACGCUACGCACGACUGUGCGGUCACUCUUGCCUCUGGUGCAUCGUCGUCCACACCUUCUGAGCCUGCGGCAGCGUCAGCUGACGAGAACGCUCAGCUCACUGCCGCCGAGCGCACCAGUCUAGCACGGUGGAUGCGCGAGUAUCAGGCACUCAUGCUAUCCUCAGCACUGCCGCACCGAGGGUCACACUCACGCGCCGACGCGACAUCUUCCUCGACGGCGCCUCUAUUGCCAAGGGAGACGCCGUUCGACGAGUUUCACGCUCUCCCAUCCGCAGCUGCGUGCUGCGUGCGCACCGAGGGCGGCGAGCGUGGUGGCGCCGGUGCCGCCUUGCGCGACGAGAGUGCUGCGCAGCCACUGCCACCGUGGAGCGAAGCCGCCGCUCGCGUGCCGAGAAAGGUGGAAGACAGCGGCUCUUGUGUCGCCGGCAGCGAUGGAGCCACAUCCUCUAACGGCUCCGCUUUCGCCCGCACAGAAGGUGAACAUCCUCCCUACUUCAGCGAGAUGCUGUGCCAAGACGGCACGAUCGUUGGAGAGCAGGCUCAGAGUGGAGGCGCGAACCCGUUUUCUGAGCGUUACUAUCGCUCAGCGGCUCAACCGCUCUAUCGGGCUGCUCGCAGUGCCGUACCGUCACCCAUUCGGCGCGCUGUCCCCAAAGCGAAAUCGUCCGUAUUUGUUCCAACGUGCAGCAUAGGUGUUCCUCGUUUCGCCACCGGAUGUGCCCGCUGCAACUUCGACGCGGCGCAAUGCCGGCACCCGUAUCGAGAGGCACAGGAUGUGCGCAUCGUGCGUGCGUCUCACGUUGCCGUGACGAAUAAUGGCGAGUACAAUCACCGUAUGAUUGCUCAGUCGUGCUGUCAAGCUCGCCAGGUCGACGCGGCUCGGCAAGCCCAGCAGACGGCGCGGGCGCAGCCCACGAGUGGCCGCCUUGUUCCCGUAAUGCACGCCCCUAUCGGAAUGACGGUACAGCCGAGAGCUGGUCUGGCAAGUGGACGGCAGAUGAGCACGCUGCCGGUCAAGGCGAAGACGGACCGGGUAAGGUUGGCGCAGUACUACCGGCAUCAGUGGGCGGAGCAGGAACGACGCUCUAGUGCUGCAGGGAGAAGCGCCGCAUGGGAUGCCCGAUACACGCUGCUAAGUUGCGCGGGCUGGACUGGGUAGGCACACUUCCUUCUCCACGUGAACUGCCCACUCGUUGCUUGAGUUUGGUGGUGGUGGUGGGGCCAUCACGAGCGGAAAUCUGAAGCGAGAUGGAGGUGCAUAACGCGCCGCCCUUUUCCCGGAGUCAUUCAUCGGCACACACACGCAUAGACAAUCAGCAGAAAGGGGCUAGCUCUCUUUUUCAUAUCUUCCCUCUCCUCCUCGUACACAUGCGCACACACACACAUACACACCAUACCGAGAGGGAGGAGGUAAGGAAGAUGAGGGGUGAGGGUGCGGAGCAGGGGGGGGGCUCUUUGAGGCUACUCUGCCGCUGUCCGCUGGAUUGUCUGCGUGCACAGGUGGUGAUGCAGCAACACAGGCACCACAGAGGCUUUCACAGGCGCGCGCUGCUCCUCAUUUGUGUUCCGCAUGAGCUCUUGCUUAGCCUUUGCCCCACUCAUUCCUGCUUGUAUGUGUUUCUUCUUUCGCCCCCCACCCCGCUGUGAUCACCGAAAAGUAUGUGUGCGUGUGUGAACGUGCGCGGUGUGCGGAGUUUUGUACGCGGAGCGGCUUGGGUGACCUUCCUCGCGGGCCCUGCUCUUCUUACCGUCCUCGCCUUUCAUACCCUACAAGAGC
RNAcentral lists this unclassified non-coding RNA (2838 nucleotides) under Leishmania donovani. Its description in RNAcentral is "gene:LdHU3.29.1140(CDS-product:hypothetical_prote in_conserved)". Lineage: Eukaryota; Euglenozoa; Kinetoplastea; Trypanosomatida; Trypanosomatidae. The record is from RNAcentral.